UCUAACCUGCAACGACGACGAAACCGUUUCCCCCAAAUGAAUGCCUACGGUCAAGUGGAAUAGCCAAGGGGGUAGGAGGCUGAGUGCCAGGUCACUGAGGCAAGACUACGCAGGGGAGGGGGACUAGGUCUUUAAAGAACCUUCAGUUCUGAAAUUAUGUGUGACAGGGUCUAGGUUUCAAUUUAAAAUAUAGACAAAACCCUGAAAUACGAUACACAGUGAGUAAUUGGAAAUGAAAACCACAGAAGAAGAUGCCUUGUACAUCCCACAACCCAUCCGGUCACUUUGAGGGAGCUGUGGUUUACUCCUCCUGGCCUCAGCUAGGGGCUCGCGUGCUACAAGGCAACAGCAAAAGCGCAGACCAAAGGCCUUCCCUCUGCCCAUCUGCCAGGGUCCAGUACAACCCGUGGAAAAAUUAUCCGAGUGCCUGGAUGAAAAAUGCAAGGACAAAAAGCAGCUGUCCUCUAAUACAAUCUUUAGAAGAGUCCUUUUAACAGUUGUGCCUGUUGAACAAAUGCAGCAUUAUGGAAAGACAAGGGCUGUGGUCACGGGCACAGGGCUGGCAUUCAGUCUGCGACAUGAGAUCCUGGCCCCCACACUUCCUCGGAUGGGACUGUGGGUAGGUACCUCUCCCCCAAGCCAGAGCCUUCGCACCUGUCAAGUCAGAACAACCAGACACUGCGUUUUUCUUUCUAGGCCUUUUCAAGAUAUACUUUUCAAUGUCUAGAAUUAUAUCUAAAAAAGGAACCAAGAGGCUGGUCUUUAACUAAAAUGUCUUUUUCUUAUUAAACAGACAUCAUAACUCAUCUCCCAGGAUUAUGGGGAUAACAAGCAAAUAUCUGAAGCCUUCAGGCCAGUGCCCAGCACACCCAGGAAGCUUGUUCAAAUGUGGUUUUCUUUAGGCCUGAGCCCCUGGAAACUUUUCCCCAGUCCGGCACCAGGCCCAGGUGGGACGGGGAGCCAAUGCGCUGGACCCUCUCCCAAACCUCUCUGGCAUUCCUGUCUCAGACUAGGCACUGGAAUUACAGAUGUUCUUUUCUGAUCAUGCCACUCUCUCACCCUGUUUUGCAACACUCUUCGGAGCAGAGUGGACCUGACUGCUGCUCCUUCUGCUGCUCUAGGACCCCUUCAGCCAGUCGUCCUGGCCGCACGGAAGGCCUCCUGAGCCCUGCGUCCUAGGGUCCUAGACCCCGCACAUGGGGGCCUGUUCACAUACGAUCACAUUAAUGAGAACCGGUAACACACGGCACCAGUUGAAUGGCGGUCACUGCGAAGCACUCUGUGUGUUUAGUCAUUUAACCCUCCCGGCGCCCUGGGAGGGGUGGGUAUCGUGCUCCUUUCCUGAAGAGGAACUGAGGCCCUGGGAAGGUCAGCAGCCUAACCCAAGGGGGCACAGCUGGUAAGUAGCUGAGCCUGGGUUUGAACCGGGUAUCCAGUCUCAGAGUCUGCACACUAAAUCUCUACUUGGGCUGCCUUGUGGGCCGGGGUCAGAUCUGACCGCGGAGAGAUCCGUGCCGAACUCUCUUUUGCCAAAAGCUCCAGCUCCGCAGCACGACCACCUUCACUGAGCUUCCAGACACCAAGAACACCUGGGAUCGCAGGACAAUACAGACCUAAGUGGUGCCCCCCCCCCCGCCACCCCCACUGUACUGUAAUCACAUCCCUUCAGAUUAUUAUUUCAGCCGUCCCUUUUAGGGACUGUUCCACGGCUGGACACUCGGACUGUUCCCUUGCAAGCAAUGCAGAGCUGAGCAGCAGGACAAUGAAACUGAAGGAGAAAAACCCAGCAAAGGUCUAAAUCGUGGAAACAAAAAUAUAUGCGUUUCAACUCCAUUUCUAUUAUAAAUGUGAAGGGGGAGCCACUCUUCCAAUCCUGGAUUCAUGUAAGCGCGGAGCUCAGAGGUCAUCUGGUCCACACAUACACCGAUGGGCAAGUAAGGCCCGGGGUCCCCUGCCUUGUUUCUCCUCACAUAUCCUCGUGGUACAGAGUUUCUAAGAAGGUGGGACAACACUGAAGUAGAAGAACCAGGACAAGAAAUGAGAUCGCUGAACCCUUAACACAGUAUUCUUCCCAGGCUGUCCCUUGACUUGAGACUGGAACAGUUCUUUAUGCUAAAAGGUUUUAUUCUUUGACAGCCACAAAAGCAAUAAAUAUAUAUUACUUAAUAAUCAGUUACAGUUAAUACUGUGGAAGUCGUUAUUUGGGCCUUGAUAGCUGCCUUAGGCUGGUUGGGAUCCCCAUCCCUUUGCAUGCAUUAAUAAUACACAACCACAAGACCAACCAGAUAAAAGCCUGACUUAAAAAAAAAAAAAAAAACUUCAACCAAGCAAAGGUCCUGAAAGCCAGAGUCAAGGGCGUUACUUAGCUCUGCAUGGCUCAGUGGCCCACGUGACUAUCUGCAUCUAAUCAUACACACGUGACUUACCUUCGUGUUCUUCCUUUUCAGAGUUUUUGACAUCUGGACUUCUUUAAGCUGCACAAAAGAAAAAAAUAUCUGUGUGCAUUUUCCAAAAUUAAAAUGUUUAUUAACUUACGAUCUAUUGCAUUUAGUUUAAAAACAACCUGUGAAACAGGAACAGUUCUAAUGAGCUCUUUACCAUGUCACCAGCACAUGAGAUCUUUUCUAGGAUAACCGUCCGCUGCCGCAGGAGGAGCGUACAAAUGGAGACUGACAAAUUUAUGUCGACAAACUUACCGUUUUGAUGAGUUCUUCUUUCAUAUUAGAAUGAAAUUUUUUGAUGGCUUCCUUAAAAAUUUUAGA
Lutra lutra (Eurasian river otter) is the source of this 2762-nucleotide long non-coding RNA. RefSeq lists it as uncharacterized. The transcript is spliced from 3 exons. The record is from RefSeq and is a predicted model, not a curated record. NCBI's taxonomy places the organism in Eukaryota, Metazoa, Chordata, Mammalia, Carnivora, Mustelidae.